GGUUAAUAUUCCUGUACUUGGUGUUACUGCGAAGGGGGGACGGAGAAGGCUAUGUUAGCCGGGCGACGGUUGUCCCGGUUUAAGCAUGUAGGCUGAUUGUCCAGGCAAAUCCGGAAAAUCAAGGCUGAGGUGUGAUGACGAGGCACUACGGUGCUGAAGUAACAAAUGCCCUGCUUCCAGGAAAAGCCUCUAAGCAUCAGGUAACAUCAAAUCGUACCCCAAACCGACACAGGUGGUCAGGUAGAGAAUACCAAGGCGCUUGAGAGAACUCGGGUGAAGGAACUAGGCAAAAUGGUGCCGUAACUUCGGGAGAAGGCACGCUGGUGUGUAGGUGAAGUCCCUGCGGAUGGAGCUGAGACCAGUCGAAGAUACCAGCUGGCUGCAACUGUUUAUUAAAAACACAGCACUGUGCAAACACGAAAGUGGACGUAUACGGUGUGACGCCUGCCCGGUGCCGGAAGGUUAAUUGAUGGGGUUAGCGGUAACGCGAAGCUCUUGAUCGAAGCCCCGGUAAACGGCGGCCGUAACUAUAACGGUCCUAAGGUAGCGAAAUUCCUUGUCGGGUAAGUUCCGACCUGCACGAAUGGCGUAAUGAUGGCCAGGCUGUCUCCACCCGAGACUCAGUGAAAUUGAACUCGCUGUGAAGAUGCAGUGUACCCGCGGCAAGACGGAAAGACCCCGUGAACCUUUACUAUAGCUUGACACUGAACAUUGAGCCUUGAUGUGUAGGAUAGGUGGGAGGCUUUGAAGUGUGGACGCCAGUCUGCAUGGAGCCGACCUUGAAAUACCACCCUUUAAUGUUUGAUGUUCUAACGUGGGCCCCUUACCGGGGUUGCGGACAGUGUCUGGUGGGUAGUUUGACUGGGGCGGUCUCCUCCUAAAGAGUAACGGAGGAGCACGAAGGUUGGCUAAUCCUGGUCGGACAUCAGGAGGUUAGUGCAAUGGCAUAAGCCAGCUUGACUGCGAGCGUGACGGCGCGAGCAGGUGCGAAAGCAGGUCAUAGUGAUCCGGUGGUUCUGAAUGGAAGGGCCAUCGCUCAACGGAUAAAAGGUACUCCGGGGAUAACAGGCUGAUACCGCCCAAGAGUUCAUAUCGACGGCGGUGUUUGGCACCUCGAUGUCGGCUCAUCACAUCCUGGGGCUGAAGUAGGUCCCAAGGGUAUGGCUGUUCGCCAUUUAAAGUGGUACGCGAGCUGGGUUUAGAACGUCGUGAGACAGUUCGGUCCCUAUCUGCCGUGGGCGCUGGAGAACUGAGGGGGGCUGCUCCUAGUACGAGAGGACCGGAGUGGACGCAUCACUGGUGUUCGGGUUGUCAUGCCAAUGGCACUGCCCGGUAGCUAAAUGCGGAAGAGAUAAGUGCUGAAAGCAUCUAAGCACGAAACUUGCCCCGAGAUGAGUUCUCCCUGACUCCUUGAGAGUCCUGAAGGAACGUUGAAGACGACGACGUUGAUAGGCCGGGUGUGUAAGCGCAGCGAUGCGUUGAGCUAACCGGUACUAAUGAACCGUGAGGCUUAACCUU
RNAcentral lists this ribosomal RNA (1518 nucleotides) under Escherichia coli CHS 69. Its description in RNAcentral is "bacterial LSU rRNA". It matches the Rfam family "Bacterial large subunit ribosomal RNA", at positions 1428 to 2925 of the family's 2925-position model. The record is from RNAcentral. Lineage: Bacteria; Pseudomonadati; Pseudomonadota; Gammaproteobacteria; Enterobacterales; Enterobacteriaceae.